GGGAGGCAGAGUGAAAUGAAAGAGAAAUGAAAACGAAGAAGCCAGUGCUGGUGCUUUGGAUUGCAGUUCUGCCUUUCAAUAUUACAUGGUGUCAGGAGUGACGUCCAAAGUGACCAGUCGCCAUCUCCAGCACCGCCAUGGAUUUGAGUGAGAUAAUAGAAGACAUCAUCCUAAAAUUCAUAAAGGAAUUUCAAGAGACCACCAAAAACUCAAAACAAUCUUGAAAAAGAACAAAGGUGGAGGACUUACACACCCUGAUUUCAAAAUUUGCUAGAAAAUUGUUAUACACUAAUCAAGACAGUGUGGAACCGCCAUGAGGACAGAUACAUAAAUGAAUGGAGAACCCUAGAGAGCCAGAAACACAUCAUCAUGUGUAUGAUCAAAUGAUUUUCAACAACGAUGCCAAUACCUUCCAAUGGUAAAACACAGUCUCUUCAACAAACAGUCUUUGGCCAACUGGAUUUCCACAUAUAAAAGAAAGAAGUUGGGACACUUAUACUACAUUGUAUACAAAAAUAAACGCAAAUUAUGUUAAAGCCCUAAAUGUAAAAUACAAAACUAUAAAACAGCUAGAAGAAAACAUGGUUAACAUUUUGUUGACCUGGGAUUUGGCAGUGAUUUCUUGCAUAUGACAUGAAAACAAUGGGCAAAAAAGCAAAAAUAGACAAAUGAGACUACAAACUUAAAAACUGUUCUGAGUCAAAGGACACAAUCAAGAGUGAAAGGACAACGUACAGAAUGGCAGAAAAUACUUGCAAAACAAAUGCUUGAUAAGGUAUUAAAUAUAGAGAGAACUCCUACAUCAAAACAAUGGAAAACAACGUGAACUAAUGUGUAAAAUUUUCAAAGGACAUUUCUCUCAGGAUGACAUACAAAUGGCCAACCAGCAUAUAAAAAGAUGCUUAACAUCACUACACUUCAGAGAAGAAUAAAUUAAAACCAAAAUGAGAUACUUACUACCUUACACACAUUAACAUAGCUGUUCUUAAAAAUAAACAAAAAACAAAUCUUGGUGAUUCCACAUAUAUGUGGCAAAGUAAAGUGCUUCACUCAAAGAAAAACAAAGCAAAAUGGCAAAUGCCCAAGGCUGGGGGGAGAGAAAACAGGGACGUGUUGUAUGAAGGAUAAAGACAUCACUUCUGCAACAUGGACAGGUUCUUAAUAUCUACAUGGUAACAUUAAGAAUAUAUUGAAAACUGGGGCGCCUGGGUGGCUCA
This is a non-coding RNA of Leptonychotes weddellii (Weddell seal), 1217 nucleotides long. Lineage: Eukaryota; Metazoa; Chordata; Mammalia; Carnivora; Phocidae. The record is from RefSeq and is a predicted model, not a curated record.